Long non-coding RNA from Xenopus laevis (African clawed frog), 2147 nucleotides. RefSeq lists it as uncharacterized. The transcript has 2 exons. Lineage: Eukaryota; Metazoa; Chordata; Amphibia; Anura; Pipidae. The record is from RefSeq and is a predicted model, not a curated record.
CGGUACGAUCUACUGCGCAUGCGUGUGACUUUUGGCGCAUGCGCAGUAGAUCCGUACCGGCGAAAUGAUCUUACUGCGCAUGCAAGCAAAAAUAAGUAUCUGCUUUGAGGCCACUGAAACAGUUACAUCUGGUGUUCAACAUGCCUCAUUUAUUCUUUUUCCCCACAACUCAUAAUUUUAUAUGUUGGUGGCCCUCUCUGUAUAGUAAACAAUGCUGUGUUGCUCACAAAUCUCUUUUCUAGUCUGGAAAGUACAGGAGAGCACCACCAAAAAGCACAGUGUGCUAAUAACAACAUGUAGAGCUUCAGUAACUUUUGUCCCAUUUUUGUACAUAUGUGUAAUGCCUAACUUUUCCAUGUCAUACCUUUUAUUGGGCAUGCAACCAGUGUACUUUUAGUUAGGACUAGGGUUGCCAACUGGCCAGAAAAAUGCUUGAAGUAAAUUUUAGCGAUAGGUAAAAAAGCUAAAAAUAUAAGUAUAUUAAGUAGUAUUAUUUUACCUUUACCAGAAAAUGUGCCAACCCUUGUUGGAACUAGGGACGCUUCGUAUUGGGUUCAGUUCGGGAUUCGGAUUUGAGUACCUGGUUGAACCAAAUCCUAUACCCUUAAGGGAACAGUAAUGCCCAAAAAUGAAAGUCUUUCAAAAUAAAGAAAAUAUAAUGUACUGUUGUUAAAUAUAAUGUCAUGCUGUUAAAACUGACAUAUUUGCUUCAGAAACUCUAUAAUAAUAUACAUAAACAAGCUGCUGUGUAGUCACGGGGACAGCCAUUCAAAGCUGAAAAAGCAGAAAAGGCUGUGCUUGAAUGGAUUUGGUGCAUCCAGUAACGGACCAUUCCUCUAGCCUCCUUUCUCUAAUAGAAAGGAGAGAAAUAGAGUGGUAAAUGUAUUUGUGCAUUUACCACUUAUUUUUAAUUUAAAUAUGGCAUUUUACUAUGUAUAUAUUUUUGGAGCAAUCUUCGGUUUUUGUUUAUAAGGAAUGCUCCCUAUUUAUGCUUUGUCUUUUGAUUGGACUUUUAAUUAUGAAUAUACAGUAUAUGAGUAUAUAGUAUAGAAACCUUGAGACCUCAAACAAAUGUUUUAAUUCUCCACCCAAAGAAUGAUUUUUGCAGUAUACCUUUGUUUGUACUGCCACAUGGGGCUGAUUUUUGCAAAAUGCAUUCUCGCGAUUUUCAGCACUAAAAUCAUCUCCUUGUGUCUACCUGUUCCCAAUGCCUCUACUUUCUCCCAUGAACGGGUAGGAAAUAUAUUGCUGUUGCAAGCUCCAUCCCUUCAGCAUAAAUUCUGUUAAUGACAGCUUUCCUGGAUCAUCUAAUCUGCAGUUUAUGUGUUUCUAUAUAUCUGUAUGAGCUUGCCAGUCUUACAGCACUUCAUUGUACUGCGCCCCCUCCGAUCACCUUAGCUAUUAUAAUAUCAAUAGUUUGGUGAGAAUUACUUAUUAACCCAAGUCGCUAGCGAACCGUGAAACUUUCACCAUGUCCAAGACGGCAAUAAUUCCAGUAUCCAAGUGUGUUUACAUUUAGUUUAUUCCUGUAUACUUUACUCAAUAUACAAAAUAAAUAAAUAAGGCCAUCUUUAAAUGUGCAUUGAUCAAUUAUUUUUUAAAUAAUAGGGAGACUGUGCACCUGCUACUUUAUAUUGUUGUAGAUUUGUGCAUAUAUGCGUUUAGGGCUCUUAGACAGGAAUGCUACAGUAAGCACAAACUAAUAUGAAAUACAGGGAAUGGGAGGCCUUCCUUCUUGCCUUCCCCUGCAGUGGAAUGUAUGAAAGAUUUUGGGUUUAAUUAAUGUUUAAAUUAUUUUUUUAGAACACUUAUGUAUGGAGAUCCAAAUUAUGAAAACAUCCCUUAUACACAAUCCCAAGCUUUCUGGAUAACAUACCUGUACUUUUUAGAUAAUCUGUCAUUUGGGGGUUUUUUUUAGAUAUAUUUUGUGCCAGCAAAAUCAUUACUUGGAAUUAGAAACUCGAUGUCUAGAAAGUAACCCACAUUUCCUGCAAAUUAUUUAAUAAUAUUCUUUAUACAGCAUAGUGAGCAUUUUAUUAUUUUGUAUGAAAACUUGACCAGCAGAGGGCAGUGUCUGUUUUGAUGCAUCCUUAUGCUAAAUGGGUGUUAUACUAGUCUCAGAUUUAUAUAUUUAUUCGUUAAUAAAG